RNAcentral lists this long non-coding RNA (258 nucleotides) under Mytilus galloprovincialis (Mediterranean mussel). The record is from RNAcentral. Lineage: Eukaryota; Metazoa; Mollusca; Bivalvia; Mytilida; Mytilidae.
AAAUGCAUUUAACUUUUAUAUAUCUAGUGGAUGCCAGGCAUUAAAACUUUUCCAACUGGACAGGUAAGUCUGUACUCAGAGUAGUUUUUGGAAUGUAAAUACAGCCAUAUUUGUCCGUUUGUUAUGAUGAACCUGAAGUACAGUUAAUUUGAAAAAAAUAAUAAAAAAUAUAGGUCACCAAUGACAAUGAAUGAGUUAAAAAAGAUAUUACAAUUUUAUUGCCAAGAAAUGACAUUUUUGCACUAAAGCCAAAGGGAG